GGAAGAUACCAGUUAGCGAGGCUGUACUUAUCAUCUCUAAGACACCUUGCCUUGGCAUGCAGUGUAACCUCAAAAACGGUUGCUGAAAUUUGGCAACACACCUCAGCAGAUCAGAGAGGCAACUUGUUUCUCACAGUGCAGCAAACAUACCAUAUCUCUUAGACAGGUUUACUCCCAUAACAAAAAGGCAAGAGGAAGAAUAAGUUGUGGAUAUUGUUCAUAUGAGUCCAGAAGUUCUCCCAUCUACUCCU
This 251-nucleotide long non-coding RNA is filed under the name Marmota monax (woodchuck). Lineage: Eukaryota; Metazoa; Chordata; Mammalia; Rodentia; Sciuridae. The record is from RNAcentral.